GGGAAUGAUUGAGUGGCUGGUGCUCUCCGCGGCCUUCAAAGCCGUUGUCUCCGUAUAGAGCGGAGAGCUGGGUUCGAUUCCCAGGCGUUCCCGCUA
RNAcentral lists this transfer RNA (96 nucleotides) under Fidelibacterota bacterium. Its description in RNAcentral is "tRNA-Sec". It matches the Rfam family "Selenocysteine transfer RNA". Lineage: Bacteria; Pseudomonadati; Fidelibacterota. The record is from RNAcentral.